Small nuclear RNA from Prosopis cineraria, 195 nucleotides. RefSeq annotates it as U2 spliceosomal RNA. NCBI's taxonomy places the organism in Eukaryota, Viridiplantae, Streptophyta, Magnoliopsida, Fabales, Fabaceae. The transcript has a single exon. The record is from RefSeq and is a predicted model, not a curated record.
AUAUCUUUCUUGACCUUUUGGCUAAGAUCAAGCGUAGUAUCUAUUUUAAUCAAUUUAAAAUGUGAUACGUGAGCCAUCAACCCGCAUGAUUUUAAAUUAAUUUUUUGAGGGGGAGGAUUCACUAUAGUAGCUUGCUAUUAGGACUCUCGUGUGUCACCCUUGUGUUGCACUACAACAUGGCCUAGCAUACCCCUU